GAUGAACGCUAGCGGCAGGCCUAACACAUGCAAGUCGAGGGGUAGAAUUAGCUUGCUAAUUUGAGACCGGCGCACGGGUGCGUAACGCGUAUGCAAUCUACCUUGUACAGGGGGAUAGCCCAGAGAAAUUUGGAUUAAUACUCCAUGGUAUAAUUGAAUCGCAUGGUUUGAUUAUUAAAGUUCCAACGGUACAAGAUGAGCAUGCGUCCCAUUAGCUAGUUGGUGUGGUAACGGCAUACCAAGGCGACGAUGGGUAGGGGUCCUGAGAGGGAGAUCCCCCACACUGGUACUGAGACACGGACCAGACUCCUACGGGAGGCAGCAGUGAGGAAUAUUGGUCAAUGGUCGGAAGACUGAACCAGCCAUGCCGCGUGCAGGAAGACGGUCUAUGGAUUGUAAACUGCUUUUGGACGGGAAGAAACACUCCUUCGUGAAGGAGCUUGACGGUACCUAAGAAUAAGGAUCGGCUAACUCCGUGCCAGCAGCCCGCGGU
RNAcentral lists this ribosomal RNA (493 nucleotides) under uncultured bacterium. Its description in RNAcentral is "bacterial SSU rRNA". It matches the Rfam family "Bacterial small subunit ribosomal RNA", at positions 28 to 521 of the family's 1533-position model. The record is from RNAcentral.